This is a long non-coding RNA of Cydia pomonella (codling moth), 1142 nucleotides long. RefSeq lists it as uncharacterized. The transcript is spliced from 2 exons. The record is from RefSeq and is a predicted model, not a curated record. Lineage: Eukaryota; Metazoa; Arthropoda; Insecta; Lepidoptera; Tortricidae.
UUGUGAUGUCUGACCAUACUAUGAGGGCUGAACGAAUAAGUCAUAUUAAACUGAUCAACUUUUACUAUGGGACUGACAGCCACAACGCAAAAAAUAAAUCUGCUGUCUCAUACGAUUUGGCGAAUCAUAUGUCAAUGUUUUCUGUGAAACAUCAGAUUUCUUUUCUCGAUUUCGGUGUUGGCUCCGUAGUAAAGUUGUUCAGUAUGACCUACCUAUUCACCCCUCAGAGUAUGGUCAGUCAUAACAAAAUCACCCUGUAUUCUUAUCAGCAUUGUUUGUAGUGUCUGAAUCUUAAACUAAUGUCAAUUCCUCGUCACUUAUUGCCGAAAUUAUCACAGCGCCGCUAUUUGUGAAAAGUGCACAAGUUCUCGCCAUGUCGAGUGGUCUUCAAAUAAGUGAAUGGAUUCGCAAUAAUGUCGCUUAGUUUAAUAUGCGAUCAAGUUCAAUUAUUACUUUUCAAGAUUAGUCCUUAUCCUUUUGAUAUAUAUAUAAAGUUGUAAGGGAUUGCUAUAAAACCUUCUUCGCAUUAACCGCUUUGUGCUGGCCGGUUAACAAAAUAAAAACAUUUUAAAAUCUCGUUUGGCAAUCUGUCAUAUUUUUUUCAAAUGAGAAAUUGUCAACCGGUCACAUAUGUUUUAUAAAUAAUUCAUUGAAUAUCUAUAUUUUAUCUCAUUUUGUUCGUUAAAUGCUGUUAUUGUGUCCCCAGAUCGAGUUAGAGAUAGAUCAAGUCUGGAGUUAAAAUCGGAACCCACCAACCUGGAUGCGCAUGCUCCACUACGUCCGGAAGGUUCCCGUGCUGAGGAUCCGGAACAACGACUGAAGAUAGCCACCACCUUUGGACCCGGGUACGUCCUUAAACUACGUCCGAAGAGAGGUACGGGCAUUGUGAAUGUCAUCUCGCUCAGUGUGGUAGGGCACAGUACAGCGGAUGUCAUUCCGGAUCUUAGGCUACGGAGACUGCUUACCAUCAGGCGGGUCGUAUGCUUGUUUGCCACCGACGUAGUAUAUAAAAAAACACCAAUUGCGAUGUACCGCGGCAUAGUGCAGGAAAGUGACCACUAUUAAAGACUUGUUUCGCCCUUAAUUGUCUAUUGCCAGCUCAGGUUUUUGUUUUUUAAUUUUAAUAUAUUGUGUAAAAUGCG